ACGCUCGACACCUACGGGAGGGCAGCAGUGGGGAAUAUUGCACAAUGGAGGAAACUCUGAUGCAGCGAUGCCGCGUGAGGGAAGAAGGUUUUCGGAUUGUAAACCUCUGUCUUUGGGGACGAUAAUGACGGUACCCAAGGAGGAAGCUCCGGCUAACUACGUGCUAGCAGCCGCGGUAAUCUGAGCGGGCUGGCAAGGC
This 199-nucleotide ribosomal RNA is filed under the name uncultured bacterium. RNAcentral describes it as "partial 16S ribosomal RNA". It matches the Rfam family "Bacterial small subunit ribosomal RNA", at positions 328 to 539 of the family's 1533-position model. The record is from RNAcentral.